This is a non-coding RNA of Podarcis lilfordi (Lilford's wall lizard), 3305 nucleotides long. NCBI's taxonomy places the organism in Eukaryota, Metazoa, Chordata, Lepidosauria, Squamata, Lacertidae. The record is from the annotation of a GenBank genome assembly.
CAUUCCUUAUGUUAAAUCAUCAUAUGUGUAGGCCUAAUCAUGUGGAUAUUUUCAUCUUAGUAUCAGCAGUCCGCAUGGAAGGGAUUUGCUAGUAUGAAAUGAUCCAGGUGAUCCACACAAUGCUGAUGUCCCUUACAUUACUGAUGUGCGAUGGGAGCCAGGUAUGGGGGAUCAGUUCUAACCAAAUUAUAUAAUAUAACCUUUUCUUAAGAUUAUUAUUAUUAUUCUCUUGCUAAUUAUGCAUUUAUAUGUGCAUUUUAUAUCCAACUUCCUUUACUAAUGUUUUCUUUUGAAAGGUUAAGUUUUUUUUGUUAAUUUUGCUGUAUUGUGUUCAUUCUGCACUUGACCUCCUUUGUAAUGUUUUAUUUUGAAAUCUUUAAGAUAAUAUGCUAGUCUCCUGUUAAUUAUGUUGCUUUGAAUGCAUACUUUAUAUCUGACUUUCUUCUGUAAUGCUUUAUUCUACAUUGUACUAUUUUAUGCUUUAAUGGAAGUUGUAAAUGACUUUGAGAUUUUUUUCUGUAAAAUAUAAAACAAUAUAGAAAUGAAAUGAAAAAAUAAUAAUAGUAAUCCCGUCUAUGCCAGAAAAAUAUCAAAGUAAAUAGAUUUUAGAUGUGGCCAUUAAUAGUCCUCCACCUUCUGACUUUGUUCCAAUAUCAACAUGUCCUAUACAGCAUCAGGGUGUAUCACUGUAUGCAGUUGUGACAUUUUCAUUGAUAUCAGUAUUAUCUGGAUUCUACCCUUCUCUAAUUCAGCAAAUAUAGAUUAAAGUGAAGCUGAUUUUGAAGUUCUAUUUGGGGACUUCUGGAAGUAUUCUAACUUUGACUAAUUGGACAACUCUGCAGAGACAUUUAUUGAUAAGAGUGUCUACUAGAAAUUACAUAUCUGGAGAAGGAAAAGGCAGUGGAAAGGAUUCAUGCACCUUACUAAUUGACAAAAAAAUUAGAUGGUUCCUGUCUCAUUCUGUUUGAGAAGGCAUGCUACCCAACUGCACCCAUUCCUUGGAAAUGCUUAAGAGGAAUAUGGUGGUGGGCAGGUUCGCUGUGGGGUUUUCCAUAUCUCCUAUGCAUGUAGAUGCAAGGAAAUAAUUAUCACCACUGCCCAGCUCCUCCUCCUACUACUACUAAUUUUAUUAUCUGCCCCACCCACACUGGGAGGUUUCCAACACAUAUAAAAACAUAAUAAAACAUUACACAUUAAAAAGCUUCCCUUAUGGGGCUGCCUUCAGAUGUUAAUCUGCCUUCAGAUAAAGUUCACCUAGUUAUUAAUCUCCUUGAUAUCUGAUGGGAGGGUGUUCCACAGGGUGGGUGCCACUGCCAAGAAGGCCCUCUCCCUGGUUCCCUGUAGCUUCACUUCUCGCAGUGAGGGAACCGCCAGAAGGCCCUCGGUGCUGGAUCUCAGUGUCCGGGCUAAACCAUGGGGGUAAAGAAGCUCCUUCCGAUAUACAAGGCUAAGGGCCUCUCUGGCUUUGGAUAGCAAAGGAACAGCAGUCAUCUUGAUUUUGUUUACCCCAACACAAACUCAUUUUAACAUAAGGAAGGAUUUUUGCAACUAUCCCAUUCAGUAUUUAAAAGGAUUAUAGGAAGCAGCCUGAUAGUGAGUAAGACCAUCUAUCCUGAAUGGCAGUGGAUUUCCAGGGUUUCAGAGAGGUGACUUUAUGAAUCUUGGAGAUGGCAGGGAUUGAACCUGGGAACUCCGCAUUCAACACAGAUGUUCUACCAUAGAGCUACAGUCAUCCCCCAUGGUUUAAUUCAUGCUUUGUGGUUUCAAGAGCCUUUGAUACUGUAUCCAUUUCAAUAUAGUUCCUUUGCUAAGCAUAGUAAAUAACCUUUUGAGACAUCAAGGUGAAUAAAACAUGAGCUUUCAUAUGAAAAAGUACCAGAUACAAUCGUAGAAUCAAAGAAAGCAAGAUAGCCAUGAUUCCAGUCUGUCUGAGUACAAUUUCCAACCAGUACUUUGGCAGACACCAUAGAUGCCAGCCAUAUGUUUCGAAUCAUCUACUUUUUAUCACAUGUCAGAUGUGCAGUGUAAUGUUACUAGUCAGUGAAAUACAACGUGGAUUGGAGUCACAGAAAAACAAGCACGGUAGUAACAUGUACAUUUAGAUCUGACAGCUGCUAUCCAUUGGGGGAACAAGCAUCUUUUUGUCAUAAAAUGAAAAAGCAAGGAACAGAAUUUCAGGAAAAUUGACCUAAUAUUAUUGCCAGUGGCCUCCAGUUUACCACCUUUCAAUUUUAAACUUUGGCCUUCAAAAGAUUUCGGGCAGAAGACUUUACAAUUCAUGGUAUGUGUGUGUGAAGGUGUGUGUGUUCUUAACACAAAACAACCCAUUGCUGACAAAAUGUCAAUAAAGGAAAAUGUUUUAGAAUAAAGCUGUGUACACACCAUACCUUUAAAUAAUCCUGGAAAGUGUAGUUUCUUAAAGAGUGCUGGGAAUUGUAGCUCUGUAAGGGGUAAACUACAGUUUCCAGAUUUUUUGGGAAGAGACAUGAUUUGAAUCUGCUAUAAAGGUAUUUCAUUCUUUUUUAAGUGCCUUUGCUUUCUUAAGCACAUUCAUUUUAUCCUUUGCCUAGGGGGUACAUGACAUUUAGGAAAUUUGGGGCAACAAUAACAAGUGACAUAAUGGAAAUAUCAUACCAAACUUAAAGAAAGGUACGAGGACGGGGGGGAAACUUGAUACGGCACAAGCUACAACUCUCUCACUGAAAGAUCUGCACCACAUUGGAAGAGUCCAUGAUCCCAUGCCUUCCCAACUUUUGAGUAAUAUGACAAUGCUACUAUGGGAAGGAGUUACAAUUUAGUGUUCACUUCAAUCCAGGUACUGUCAUUUGAAAGGAUUCUUGAUUCAUGUGGGUUUCUUUCUAUGAGGCAAAGAGGUUACACCUUGAAGCCACGGCGCUUUGGAAAUAUUAAAAGCAGAUGGCAGGUUUCAAAGCAGUUCAGAUCGCAAAGUGAGAUGAAAAAGCUUGAGAGCACAGCUUUGAAAUGAAGUGAUAUUAGCUUGGGGUCUUAUGAGCAAACAGCUUAAUAUAGUGAUCUCAAUCAUCUCCCCCCACCUGCAAUCUCAGGGGAGAUAACUUGAUAAAUUGAUGCAUUACAAUAUUUUACACAUCAUUUUCCAGGUCAGCUUAGGAAGACGGACGCCCUUUCUCUAAGAAAACCCAUGAACACACGUACACAAACAGAACAGGCAGACAGAAGGAUAAAGGAAACAGGGGCGCCGGGAGAGAAAGAGAUGGGGGGGGGGAACCUUUCUGAAGUUAUUGGUGAUGCUUAUCUAAAAAUGAAACCUGCAGCUUCUGAAAACA